CCCCCAGGACAAUCGCAUGGCAAUCGGAUUGAACGCGCAACAUUUUCCAUACAAUCCGCAGUGUUGCGUUUUCUUCGCGCCAACUUUGCCUGUAUUUUCAAUGAGCCAAGCGAUUUUACCCCCUCCUACACGCAUUGUAUCCUACAGCACGCUUGACGCGGCAACGUUCACCACAUACACACACACAUCUCCACACUCAGGGUACGACAUCUUCCCUGUUGCUGUUCUGGACUCAGACAAAAUUUGUGUUUCUACACUUAUUGUUCAAAAAAGUAGUAGCUCCUAGGAUCUGAAUUUACAAACAAAUAUCAAAAUGUUAUGUUCUGCUAAUGAUAUUGCUCUAAAUUUAAAUGCACUACAUCAAGUUUUUACAUAUCUUUCGUAAAAGUUCGCCAGAGUAUAAAAACGUCGAUACAAUUUGUCAUGAAUAACUUAAAUUUCAAGAUUUUCGCGCAUAAAAUUAUGACGCGCGCUGUGUGUGCGGCGGCGUAAUUCGCUACUCGUAUAGCCGUCUCGCUUCUUCUUGUGUGUGCUUUACCGUUGCUGACCGCUUCAAGAACAUUGCUGCUCACACACACGUCAGUCUGUGGCAAACAAUUGGAGGGGGAGGAUGUGUCGGUUUGCUCCAGAAAUCGUGUGUGAUUUUGGUGUUCUGGAUUUGGUUCCAUCGCUGUUUGUUUUGGUGAAUUUGAAAAGGUAAGAAUCAUCAACCGAUGUAAAAGUGUGAGAGUAAGAUGAUGCUGAUGGUGACUGAUGCUUUUCUUUGUUUCUUUUCCUGCUUUCAUCCACUGAUGGCGUCGAGCAUCGCCGAGGAUGUGAUCGAAUGCGGAAUAUUCUAAACAAGGAGCUUCAUUCCGGAUUUUGUUUGCAAUAAGCGCUGAACUAAUCCUCCAGCUUACAACGAACGGUCAACGGAUGAGGAAGGAGAGGAGGGACGGCAAAGGUACACGCACAAACGUGCACACAUCAGCCUUCUCGGAGAACGAGAACACGGGAGGGGGAGACCGGCAACGUAUAGAACCUUUACGCUCCCUCGUGCGUUCGUGCGUGCGUGCGCGCGCGCGUCUAUGUGUGUGUAUGUGUGUGCAUGCCUGCGUGCGUGGCUGUGUGUGUUUUUGCCGCUUCGCAUAACGAGAUCCUACGGGAUCACCUUGCGAAAAACACCAAGAGAGGGGGAGGGGUAGGUAUGUGUGUAUGUGUGUGUGUGUAUGUGUGCUUGCAUGCGUGCAUGGCUGUGUAUGUGUGUGUAUGUGUGCUUGCAUGCGUGCGUGGCUGUGUAUGUGUGUGUAUGUGUGCUUGCAUGCGUGCAUGGCUGUGUAUGUGUGUGUAUGUGUGCUUUUGCUGUUUGGCGAUCUCCUACGGAAUCACCUUGCGAAAACACGUGGGGGGGGGGGGAGGAGUGAGGUGUGUGUGUGCUUGCCUGCGUGCUUUGUGUGUGUGUUUUUGCGUUCACGUUCUACGGGAUCACUUUGCGAAAAACACCAAGGGGAGGAGGAGGUGUGUGUGUGUGUGUGUAUGUUUUUUUUUCUUUGCCGAUUCGCACUCUCUCGCGGAUCUAGUUGUGUGCGUUAGUUUUUUUUUUUAGUUUCUUCGAAAAAUACCUGGGGGAGGAUGUGUGUAUGAAAGAAUGUACUUCAGAAAAGAAAGUGAAAAAUAAAAAACGAAUAUGAAAUAUGUUAAACGAA
Molecule: long non-coding RNA, 1685 nt
Organism: Anopheles gambiae (African malaria mosquito)
Lineage: Eukaryota; Metazoa; Arthropoda; Insecta; Diptera; Culicidae
Exons: 2
Source: RefSeq, a predicted model, not a curated record